Molecule: non-coding RNA, 24 nt
Filed under: Arabidopsis thaliana (thale cress)
Lineage: Eukaryota; Viridiplantae; Streptophyta; Magnoliopsida; Brassicales; Brassicaceae
Source: RNAcentral
GCAAGCUUCCCAAUCUGCAUCAGA